Pangasianodon hypophthalmus (striped catfish) is the source of this 1117-nucleotide long non-coding RNA. RefSeq lists it as uncharacterized. NCBI's taxonomy places the organism in Eukaryota, Metazoa, Chordata, Actinopteri, Siluriformes, Pangasiidae. The transcript is spliced from 3 exons. The record is from RefSeq and is a predicted model, not a curated record.
CGUCCGGGUACGCAUCUCGUCUUCUGAAAUUUCCUCGCCUCUUUCAUGGAAACAUAUUGGGGCAGCGUUCGCCAGCUGUCUGCUUCCUUCGCCUUCUGCUGCCAUUAUCCUCAGGCACCACCCCACCUUAUGGCUGCCCAGCCUGCCAGGAAUGAGAGAGAGAGAGAGAGAGAGAGAGGAAGGAGGAGGGACAGAAAUAGGGAUAGUGAGAGAGGGGCCUUCCAAAAUCAAAAGGAUCAUUUGCAGCUAAAGGAGAGAGAAAACAAGUGAGUUGACAACCAGCCAACCUCAUCCCACCAAUCCUUACUGGAUCUUUGCCAGUAAAAUCCAGCCCUUGGCAACCCACCCAGUUUACCAACCCUAAAAGUAGGCAGGCUCCUGACCUGGAUAAGAGCCCUAUUUUAAGCUCCAGGCCUGACAUCUCCAGUGAUGCUCAGUCACACAGGAUCUUGUUACUGCUCUGACAAGUUCACGCCAGCUACUGAUCUGCAUGGCUGGAGGUGCUGAGAUCUCAAGGUCUUUCCAGGAGAGCAGGCGAGGACUCGCAGUCAGCUGAUGAUCUGUAGCUAGUGGCGGUCAGGUGUGAGGCCUUUGGAGAAGGGGGUGAUGAAGGGAACAGGCAUUACUGUGACAACUUUGUAGUGUCAGCAGUCGUUACGAGAAAACUAGCCUACAGAGAAGUUCAGCAUGAGGACUGACACAGCUAGGGACCUAGAAAGAAUCAUUUAUUAGUUAGCACUAGAACUGUUUAUGCAUUAGUGUUAGCACUAGAAUCAUUUUUUAGUUAGUGUUAGCACAAACAUUUUUAUGUGUUUAGUGUUAGCACUAGAAUCGUUUAUGUUUUAGCAUUAGCACUAGAAUUACUUAUGUGUUAGUGUUAGCAUGAGAGCAGUUUAUGUAUUAUUUUUAGUACUAGAAUAUUUGAUGUAUUAGUAUUAGUACUCAAAUCAUUUAUGUAUUAGUAUUAGCACUUUUAUUGCCUGGAAAUAUAACAGACCUGUGCUUAUGUAGUUAUAUGAAUCAUAUAAUUUGAUUGUCUAGCAAUUAGAAUUUUAUUCAACUUCAGUCAUUGUCCAUUGUUUGUGUAAAGCUGCUUUGAGACAAUGACCUUUGUAAA